Molecule: ribosomal RNA, 578 nt
Filed under: Trigonopterus empat
Lineage: Eukaryota; Metazoa; Arthropoda; Insecta; Coleoptera; Curculionidae
Description: SSU rRNA
Rfam family: Eukaryotic small subunit ribosomal RNA
Source: RNAcentral
GUCAUAUGCUUGUCUCAAAGAUUAAGCCAUGCAUGUCUCAGUACAAGCCAAAUUAAGGUGAAACCGCGAAAGGCUCAUUAAAUCAGUUAUGGUUCCUUAGAUCGUACCCACAAUUACUUGGAUAACUGUGGUAAUUCUAGAGCUAAUACAUGCAAACAGAGCUCCGACCGGAGACGGAAGGAGUGCUUUUAUUAGAUCAAAACCAAUCGGUGGCGGGUUCGCUCGUUAUCGUACAACUUGGUGACUCUGAAUAACUUUACGCUGAUCGCACGGUCAUCGCACCGGCGACGCAUCUUUCAAAUGUCUGCCUUAUCAACUGUCGAUGGUAGGUUCUGCGCCUACCAUGGUUGUAACGGGUAACGGGGAAUCAGGGUUCGAUUCCGGAGAGGGAGCCUGAGAAACGGCUACCACAUCCAAGGAAGGCAGCAGGCGCGCAAAUUACCCACUCCCGGCACGGGGAGGUAGUGACGAAAAAUAACGAUACGGGACUCAUCCGAGGCCCCGUAAUCGGAAUGAGCACACUCUAAACCCUUUAACGAGGAUCAAUUGGAGGGCAAGUCUGGUGCCAGCAGCCGCGG